RNAcentral lists this unclassified non-coding RNA (209 nucleotides) under soil metagenome. RNAcentral's name for it is "partial contains 5.8S ribosomal RNA, internal transcribed spacer 2, and large subunit ribosomal RNA". The record is from RNAcentral.
AAGACUAUAGACCUGCGGAGUACCUGCGGAGGGAUCAUUACCGAGUCUCCGACUCCCAAACCACUGUGAACCUACCUCUUUAGCGCUCCGCCGGGCCGGCCCGGGGGGUCGGUUGCCGCUAGGCGCCCGGCGGAGCUCUGGAAAAUCUCUCUCAGCGAGCUUCUGAGUCUUGUCUCUAAAAGAGUCACAACUUUCAACAAUGGAUCUCU